This 62-nucleotide transfer RNA is filed under the name Emoia caeruleocauda. Its description in RNAcentral is "tRNA-Cys". The record is from RNAcentral. Lineage: Eukaryota; Metazoa; Chordata; Lepidosauria; Squamata; Scincidae.
AGUCCUGGCAUAUUUUAACAUGCUUCUCCAGAUUUGCACUYUGACGUGAACCACCACAAGAC